CUUCAAUUCAAUCCCAGAUUAAACAAGGGAAUCCCAGCUUAUUGCUGUCACGCUGGAGAGACUGACCAAGCUAGAGCAUCCUUGACCUUUCUUCUUUCUCUCAGAUGUCCAGUGAACUUGUGUCCAAUGUACCCUGCAGCCCUCCACAGAGAGCUUCAUUCCAUGAUGGCUCUGAAACAGUUGCUGUGGAGGGCGCAGGAGACCAUGUGUGUGAACACCUGAUGGGACAAAGCUAUUCAGCAAGGGCGGUGUGAUUGAUUCCCGAACCGCAAGAGAACCCACAGCAGCCCUGGCCGCCGGCCUCCGACAGUGGCGGUGUCAGCAGCUUGAGCAGAGACUAUUUAAACUGAUGGAGGUGAAGCUCUGCAUUUUUUCCUGGGGAUGGAGGGGAACUGGGAAAAGGCUGUUCUCCUGUUAUCAUUUCC
This 425-nucleotide long non-coding RNA is filed under the name Chinchilla lanigera (long-tailed chinchilla). Its description in RNAcentral is "lncRNA (ENSCLAG00000024647.1)". The record is from RNAcentral. Lineage: Eukaryota; Metazoa; Chordata; Mammalia; Rodentia; Chinchillidae.